AAAUCUGUGUGUCUUGCAGCCCGCAUCGCUACAAGCUGUCGGACCUGUGUGACUGGGUGUAUAACGUCACCCAUAGGAGUCGCGAGGACUGGGGCUACAGGCGUGUCAACAUCAGACCGUGGAGCCUUUAUUUUAAGACGAAGGUAUCGUUGGUUGAGAAGCUGCCGGGACGUCCUAAGCUUGGCUGGGACAAGCUGGAGAGGGAGUGUGUGACGGACGCGGUGACGUCGGCGCUCCCGACCGUCCUUUAUGACUCACUAUAGCCGCAUGCGUCUAUACCUGUGUAUGUAUUAUGUAUGUCUAUGUACAUAUGUACAUGUGUUUGCAGGAGUGUGUGACGGACGCGGUGACGUCAGCGCUCCCGACCGUCCUUUAUGACUCACUAUAGCCGCAUGCGUCUAUACCUGUGUAUGUAUUAUGUAUGUCUAUGUACA
This is a long non-coding RNA of Priapulus caudatus, 434 nucleotides long. RefSeq lists it as uncharacterized. The record is from RefSeq and is a predicted model, not a curated record. Lineage: Eukaryota; Metazoa; Priapulida; Priapulimorpha; Priapulimorphida; Priapulidae. The transcript is spliced from 3 exons.